RNAcentral lists this ribosomal RNA (912 nucleotides) under uncultured bacterium. RNAcentral's name for it is "bacterial SSU rRNA". It matches the Rfam family "Bacterial small subunit ribosomal RNA", at positions 8 to 916 of the family's 1533-position model. The record is from RNAcentral.
AGAGUUUGAUCCUGGCUCAGGAUGAACGCUGGCGGCGUGCUUAACACAUGCAAGUCGAGCGGAGAUAUUAAAACGGAAGGUUUCGGCCGGAAGUUUUGAUAUUUUAGCGGCGGACGGGUGAGUAACGUGUGGGCAACCUGCCCUGUACUGUGGAAUAAUCACUGGAAACGGUGACUAAUACCGCAUGUCAUUGCGAGAGGGCAUCCUCUUGCAAGAAAAGGAUUUAUUCGGUACAGGAUGGGCCCGCAUCUGAUUAGCUAGUUGGUGAGAUAACAGCCCACCAAGGCAACGAUCAGUAGCCGACCUGAGAGGGUGAUCGGCCACAUUGGGACUGAGACACGGCCCAAACUCCUACGGGAGGCAGCAGUGGGGAAUAUUGCACAAUGGGCGAAAGCCUGAUGCAGCAACGCCGCGUGAAGGAAGAAGGGUUUCGGCUCGUAAACUUCUAUCAACAGGGACGAAAAAAAUGACGGUACCUGAAUAAGAAGCCCCGGCUAACUACGUGCCAGCAGCCGCGGUAAUACGUAGGGGGCAAGCGUUAUCCGGAAUUACUGGGUGUAAAGGGAGAGUAGGCGGCAUGGUAAGUUAGAUGUGAAAGCCCGAGGCUUAACCUCGGGAUUGCAUUUAAAACUAUCAAGCUAGAGUACAGGAGAGGUAAGUGGAAUUCCUAGUGUAGCGGUGAAAUGCGUAGAUAUUAGGAAGAACACCAGUGGCGAAGGCGACUUACUGGACUGAAACUGACGCUGAGGCUCGAAAGCGUGGGGAGCGAACAGGAUUAGAUACCCUGGUAGUCCACGCCGUAAACGAUGAGUGCUAGGUGUCGGGGGGGGGAACCCUCGGUGCCGCAGCUAACGCAAUAAGCACUCCACCUGGGGAGUACGAUCGCAAGAUGAAACUCAAAUGAAUUGACGG